RNA transcript from Panicum virgatum (switchgrass), 3651 nucleotides. It is a transcript of the gene named ABC transporter I family member 1-like, with no coding region annotated. Lineage: Eukaryota; Viridiplantae; Streptophyta; Magnoliopsida; Poales; Poaceae. The transcript is spliced from 5 exons. The record is from RefSeq and is a predicted model, not a curated record.
UGCCUCUUCUGUCCAUCUCUCUCACUCAGUCACCCACCUGGCCCUGGGAGUGGUUCCCCUCCGCGCGCCGCCGGCCGGCCGCCGCCGCGUUCCCCCCAACCAUCGCCGCCGCCUCCACCAACCUCGCCGCACCGCGCCCGCCUCUAACCAGCUCGACCGCGCCGAGCCACCGUCCACUCGGCCAGAUGCCGCCGCUCCGCCCCCCGCCGCCGCGGCUCCUCCUCAACAACGUCUCGUGCAUGCGGAACGCGCAGACGGUGCUCCGCGACAUCAACCUCAGCGUCCACGACGGCACGGCCCUCGUCCUGACCGGCGCCAACGGCUCCGGCAAGACCACCCUCCUCCGCAUGCUGGCCGGCUUCUCGCGCCCCUCGGCCGGGGAGAUCCUCUGGAACGGCCACGACAUCACCUCACCGGGCGUGUUCCAGCAGUACAAGCUGCAGCUCAACUGGAUGUCGCUUAAGGACGCCGUCAAGGAGAAGCUCACGGUUCUGGAGAACGUGCAGUGGUUCGAGCUCCUCGAGGGGAAGGACGGCAGCAGGUCGGGGCCGGCCAUCGAGCUCAUGGGGCUCGGCAGGCUCAUGAACGAGAAGGCCAGGAUGCUGUCCAUGGGGCAGAGGAAGCGGCUGCAGCUCGCCAGGCUUCUCGCCAUUGACCGCCCGAUCUGGCUGUUGGAUGAGCCCUCUGUCGCGCUGGAUGCGGAGGGUACCAGGCUGCUCGAGUACAUCAUCGCUGAGCACCGGAAGAAGGGUGGGAUCGUGUUCGUGGCGACGCAUCUCCCGAUCGAGAUUGAGGAUUCCAUGUCCCUUCGGCUUCCGCAGAGGUUCCCCCGGAGGAAGACGCUGGUUGAUCUUGUCCAUUGAUGUCAAUUAGGUUUUACUGCUGUGUUGCCUAUCCAUCUGAAGCUUCAGCUGGCGGAAACCAGGAAACUUGACCAAAUUCGCAAGCCUUUGUAUCAAAUCAGGUAACUGAUGUACGGUUUAGGAGCAUCUGUUCCCACACUUAUAUCAGUUAACGCAUCAAUUAUCAUUGAUUUCUGUCAUAAUAGUCACGUUAUUCUGAAUCUGUUUAUAAUUUUGCAGCUUAGACAUCUUUGUGGAGCUAAUCCUGCGUGCUAUAUGUUUCAGUACAAGUGCUGACUGCAUUUCAGAAAUGUGGUGUUGUGUUUAACUGAUAAAGAACAUUUGAUCUACAUUAAAUAGCUAUCCACUUGGUUUAUCUCUUCUGACAGCCCUAGUUUACAUAUCCUUUGUAAUUAUGGGAAUCCUCUGCGUAAAUCAACAACUAAGGUUACUUCUCUAGAAAUUUCAAUCUACUGAAAACAAGUUGUCACCAUUGAACUUAUUGGUAAUCACCAAUCAGUUUGCAAGCUGCAAAGAAAAUCGUAGGGCUAUUUGUAGAAGAACUGUGAGGAAUAAAUCAUUUCUUCAAGUUGAGGCAUUUCCAUGUGCUAUGUAUAAUUCAUGAUAGGCUGUACCUUGAUUUAUCGAGAGCUUAUUGAUUGGAUAUUAAAAGAGGUAUCGAGUUUAGUCCACCGGGACUUUUGCUGUAGUGAGAACUCCGUUGUGAAGCGCAUGAAAGAACAGAACAAUAAAGAUCCGUAUGACCAAUACAUUAUUCCAUAUCAUGUAGUCGCGCAAACAUUUUCAUGGUGCCCACUUAGCAAAUUGGCUUUCAUAUUUUGCGCAUUGUUUCCAUUGAUGCUAUGUGUACUUGGUUAUUCGGUGCUCCCAUCCAUUCAUGCCUGCUGAAAAAAGAUUACAAUCGUUGUAUCCAUAAAUAAAGGCCACAGAUUUUCUGGAGGAAGUUGCUUGCCUCGUCAGAUUUAUUAAACAGUUCUGAUCCCUACAUACCAUCGAAUUAAAUUUCUGUGCCCUGUACAAUGUGCCAAGCUGUUUCAGGUGUCAAUCCACAGCAUGCUGUUUAGGACAUUGCAUUCAUUUACAUUUUCUGCCAAAAAUACCUUUUCAUAUUCUUGGAUAUAGUUUUCAAGCAUAACGAUAAUAAUUCUUAUAUGUGUCUAGUUGUCUUUAUGAAGUUGAGCUUCUCGCCAAGAAUUGAAACGUUCUGAUUCUGGAAGCAAAGUAUGAGCAAAGACUGAUAUAAAAAGAAGAAUGUCUUUCUCCUAGGAAGUUUGAAUAAGAAAAUAACUCAAGAAAAAUAUAGUGUGUGUAUAUUUAUGUAAAUUCUUGUUAAUGCUAUGGAUUUAAUAGACUGCCAGUUCUUAGUUGUUCCAAGCUAGACUUUAAUACCGUCUGCUAUUUAUGAUUCUGGACAUAUUUUCCUUUUAUAAUAUGUACAAAAAGCUCGAGAUAUUGUGAUUCCUUGUUCUAACCAUGCACUUCUUACUAAACCUUAAGAAAUACUAGUAUCCGCAGAAAUUUAUACAUCAUGCGAAGGUCUGUCUUCAUAGAGCAAAAAGAAAGCCAAAGAACAAGGUAAAUCUUACAAACACUGUAUGCUGCUGAUAUGUUUCUGUGAUUUCCAUCUGAACUUUCUUUUACUUGGUUACUGCGUUGCUGAUUGUAAGUCGAAUCACCUGAUGUAUGCAUUCGGUAUAAUAGGCUGUCCUGUGUUUACUCUCACAGUACACUGGUGCAGGCUGUAAGAAAAGAGCAGUGAAUGCAGCAGAAAUAAGUCUCUGGGGACCAAUGGAGGUGCUCUCUGACCCCAUUCUUGAGGUAGCUGGCCCACUAUUCAAGACAAGAGUUCAUUUGACUGAACAAGGAAACUCCAAGAUCCAAAGAUACACAGUUUAAGAUAGCAGGACACAUGUAAGGAUGGAUUUGCACGCACGGGGAGCUUCAAUCCAAGGGAGACAGUGGAGUGCAAUGGCGAGGGAGGCACAUGGCCAGCUUCACUGAACGCUCAUAGCUAUGAGAGAAGGAAGAAACCCCUAAACAAGGACUCUCCAAUUCGAUGCGUGCAGCUGGACCGGACCCUACAUUGUAAAUGUGCGCCUGCCCCAUUGUUCAGAUCAGAUGGUCAGGGCGUGGUAUGGGUCCAUGCACACAUGCAUGCCCGAAGAUUGAUGCCAUGUCGACGGCGACCAGUGAGCCCCCAUUGCAAGCGAGGCAGCCAGGCAGCAGCGUCCUUGAAUUGAGAUGGAUCAGAGAAGCCGAUGUGAGCGGCAGCCAGGCGGCCGGUCUUGCGAGCCGAGCACGUUCAGGUGGGCUGAGGUUCUAGACGGCGGUGUCCGUGUGGCCGAGGAAACUGGAUUUGCGAACAGAUUUGGAGUCUGAAAGGCGUCAUUGGGGGUCCAGAACUUCAGAUCGGUUGGAACGAAGAAGGCAGCUUUCUGAUUCUGCAGACGGUGUGUGCCUUCUUGGCAAGGGGUGUUUGUUGCGGUCAUGGCGUGCCUGCCUGACCGAGUCUGCCUUGGCGUGCUCCAUGGGCCAUGGGGAAGAAAGACUUCGUGGCAAUAUGAGGUAGCCGCCGCCGCCGCCGUCAUCGUUGUACUACGAGAAAAUUGAACUGUAGGAGUAGUACACACCACCGGCGAUGGUGCAAACUUCGAGGUGGAGUCUCGCAUGUUUCCGAGAAGGAAGGUAUUGGUACGGAACAAGAACAAUAAACUCAAAGGCUGUGUUUACUUUCACGAAAAGUUCCCAAAAUUUUUCACUCACGCAAAUCACAUCGAAUCUUACGAUA